CUGCUCUGUCUCAGCCGCUCCUAGUGACCACUGCGGCCUGACUGGUUUCUUUCUGUCUUCUCGGCCCACACCCUGCUUGCUUCACACACAUUCUGCAAGUGCACAUCCUCUGUGCUGUGAGCAGGGUUGGAGCAGGCACCCAGGGGCCGGCCUCCCCUGCUGUCAUUCACUCUCCCUUCCCCUGCAGGCCCCAGGCCCCGGGGCAUCCAUGCAGACUGGCCUGUGUGUGGAGCUCUGCUGUGCUUCUCCUAGUACGGGACAGGCCCAGCAAGCCUAGCUCUGCAGAGAGCACGGGAGCCACAGUGGGAUGCUAAAGAAGCAAAAAGACAGCCUCUGGGGGGCUGAGGGAGGGGCCUGCAGCAAGAGUGGAAGAAGGCCAGGCUGGGCCCCCCGAUGUACAGGCAUCUAGGUCUAGAGGACCGGGGCAGCAGAACAAUUGAGCAGGGAAACAGAGCAUGCAGUUCACGGGAGUGCGGCUAUGCUCAGCCACAGUGAACGCACCUGACUGGUGGCUCAAAGCGGCCCUGAAAGAUGGAGGAGCAACAUCCACAAGGGUUUGGUCCCCAGCACUGAAACAACGCUGAGCUGAGAUCCUGGAUGCCAACAACAUGGAAGACAGCGAGGAGAUGGUGAGAAGGCCAGCCUCACCAGACUCCAACCGUGCUGACUGUGAGCUGGACAUCGUGGGAGCCGUGAGGACACACACUGUUGUACCUACUCAGCCCACCCCACUGAGAGCAGCAGAGUGCACUAGAGUAUUUAUUAUAAACAUUGGUUCUUGACAGCCUCAGGACAGGAGGCAAGUUCCGCUUCAGAAACAAGGCCCGGAGUCACAGAACAGAGGCAGGACUCAAACCUAGUGACCCAGGCGGGAGUCUCAACCUCUGAAUAAUGAUGCCACUAUCAUCUGUGCCUGAGCAGCGGGCACUGGGUACUGUCUAUGCCUUAUCAAAAGUGUCUGACACUGAUUAGGGGUACACCAGUGUCUGUGGAAUGAUUUUUUAAAUGGCAUGUUAAGAGAACAGCUGCAGCUAACUGAACAAUGAGAUAGUACCUGUGCUACUGUCAAGCGGGGUGUCGAUGGGAAGCUGGUGGUGGGAGAGCCGUGGGAUCCAGGUGUGGCCAGAGCGGCCAGGGGAGCUAUAUGUGCAGCUUGCUCUGCACCAGGGGACAUUUGUAUGUAGUGUGAUUAGAGGCAUAAGGAACGCCCACUAUUCAAGGGCUGCUUUGGAGGGCCCUUCCGGAAAGUCCAUUUACUUUCUGUAAACCUUAAUGCCCAGAAAGGCCUGGUUUUAAAGGAGAUUCUGAGGGAGAGAGGAAUACCUGAGAGGAUGGAGAACAUGUGAGGGGUAGACAUCCCCCAGCAGCAAGGCUGAGUAAUGGUCUCACCAAUGCCAGCAAGGACCCCACCGCUGGUCACCGCUGGUCACAGCAGGACCCAUGGGGUUUGCAACAUGACAUUGAUGGAUAGGCCCCAAGGGUGGACGGGGAUGAGUGGACCCUGGUUCUCUAAACUUCUCAGUGUAUGCUACAAGUGCCGCACAGACUUGCAGUGCUCUCUAGGCUGGCUGCUGGCUAGGCGCUUGGCAGCAUGAUAGGGGUCUUGGGGUGGGGACUGGAAGUCAUCCAUUUAUUAAGGGCUUAACCUGUAUAGGCACUGUGUUAAACACGGGACGUGCGUCAUCUCAUUUAAUCCCUCCCAAAGCUGUCAUGAGGGCCUGCCAUUACCUUCCCUUUAUAGUGGAGGACGUUGCAGAAGCUCUUAUCAAGUAACUUCUCAAGGCUGAGAAAUGGCAUGCCCAGAGAAUAUGCUCUCCAGAGCCGCUUCCAACCACCCUUCCAUUCGUCUGCACUUGAUGCUGUCUUUGCCUUGUGCAGGGCAUGGCUCAGGGCCUGGUGAGUCACAGGGAAAAGCACUUGCAUCUGCGCCUGGGGUUGGACUCUGACCUGCAGCCAUGGCCCUGAAGUGACCGCGUACCUCUCUUUCUCUGCCUUUCUCUGCUGGGUGUUGCUCCUUCCUGACCUCAGCUUCCACCUGGCCAGAAGGCAAAUGCUUCCAGGCAGGUGCCAGGCUGUCAGAGGGGCCCUCUCCUGGUGUGUGGAGAGCUUGUGUAGUUUCUGAUUUCCAAGGCUGCCUUCCCUUUUCAGUUAGGGUACUAAGCCCAGGCCCUUGCAUGCUGGGCAAGUCCUCUCCCCUGAGCGCCACAUCAGCCCCUCAGGACACAGUCUUCUCAGGUGGAGUGCCUGGGAAGAUCAUUGCUCUGUAGAUAUAUUCCUGGGUGCUCUUUCUGUCGACUAAAAGGGAAAGGUUCCUGCUCUGUGUGCACCCCAGCUCCACCCCAGCAAGGUGAAGGUUGCAUUCACCCUGGGGUGGCCACUGGGGGAGUGGCUCUGAUUUGUCCCUGUCCCAAUCAGAUCUAUAGGGGUGGGAAGGUCCCAUUUUAACUUUACAGUGUAUUACUCUCUCAAGGUUUCUAACUGUCUCUCCCCAAAUGGCUGAAUCAAUGCUGUGUAUUGGGAUAAUGCAACAUUUCAAAGUCAAACUCCAACUGCAGCCACAGCUCUCUCUCGGAUACAAACACCACCGCCAUCCAGGAGCAACAAACCAGCAAACCAAGCCUUUGCUACAGAGAAAAGGAACAACAGCCUAGCUAGCGGGCCACAGCUCAGCGCGGAGGUCUGCAUGGCUCCGAAGCCCGUUCUUUCUUAAGAAGCUCCAGUCAGGUUCACAGCAGCAGUUUCUCCCUCCUUAACUUUACAUCUCUUUACGCUUUGGUUGUAAUGUCCUGGGGGAUUUAUUUUGCAUCCGUUUGAGAGAUUUUUUUUUUCAUCUUUCUUUGCUGUUUUCUGCUUACAUUUCUGUCUCUCUCCACGCUUCUGCUCACAGCUCCUCCACAAUUAGCACCGCUGGGCACAGUGGUGUCUGUUUUCUGUUCACAACCUUAAUGAAGGUGCUAAACAACACUGGAUGGAACCCCACAGCACCCACGCUCUCCUCUGGACUGCUAUCGCAGUGGCCUGUCAGGGACAAGCUACAUGGAACUUAUUCAAACCCAAGCUGCUCAAAACCCUGGGUUCUGUCCACCACUGGCCAGAGUCUGAGACUUGUCAGGAAGCCUGUCUCGUCCUAGUCCCUGCCACCUGACAGUAUUUAAAACAGUCCACAUACACAUACACCAGGACAGAGAUAAUAAAAAACACUUCCAAGGGAACAGACAGAUAGGACUUUUACUGGGCCCAGGAUAAAGGAUGCCACUUUUGAGCAAGAUAGGGAACUAAGAACAAAAUAAGUUUGCUAGAAACUCAGGGGUUCCUGGCAGUCUCUUGUUGAAUUUCUCCUUUGUGAGACAGGUUCUCACUAUGCAGCCCAGGCUGACUUCAACUUGUGACCCUCUGGACUCAGACUCCCAGGCUCUGGUAGCGUAUGGUCUUGCCAACCUACCCUACAUAGUGAAGUGAGAGCUCUUUCUUCUUUGGAGACUUAUGAUCUGGGGAGGGAGGAGAUAGGCAGCAAACAGAUAAUUCUCAUGGAUGGUGCCACCCCACCACAGCACAGUCUAGGAAAGCUAAGGACCCUGAAGCUUUAUAGGCAGAUACAUCUUCCAAGUAACUUAGGCUUUGGUGAGGGGAAGAAAUCAUUACCUGUUCUGGACCAGACUCCCUAUGGGCACGGAUCAAGAUGCAGCUAUGGAAGUGGGUGCCACACACACCGAGCCUGGUGUGCCAGGGCUGAUGGUGACUCACUCACUAGUCACUAAUAACAUCCCUCAAGUUCCAGCUCCCCCUCUCCCCCGGAGCUUGCCUGGACCUCCCCACCCUUAGGAGGGAGACGAGGAUUUAGGCAGUGAGUCCAGGCUCAUGCUUGUUUGGGAGGCUGUGGUGGAGAUGCAUCAGGCCAGGUUGGCAGGCAGCUGAGAGGUGAGCCGGCCAGGCGGACUCUGUGGGCAGUGAGACUCCUCGAGUGAGGAUCUCGAGCAGAGGAGAUGGGGGUGCUUAGACCGGUGCUCACCGCUGUCUGGGUUCUUGGCUGUCUUAUGUUCUUCCCCGGCUUCCAUUCCCUUUCAAAUAAAGCUCUAUGGGAGAAGA
Molecule: long non-coding RNA, 4086 nt
Organism: Apodemus sylvaticus (European woodmouse)
Lineage: Eukaryota; Metazoa; Chordata; Mammalia; Rodentia; Muridae
Exons: 2
Source: RefSeq, a predicted model, not a curated record